RNA transcript from Triticum aestivum (bread wheat), 1879 nucleotides. RefSeq lists it as uncharacterized. Lineage: Eukaryota; Viridiplantae; Streptophyta; Magnoliopsida; Poales; Poaceae. The transcript has 4 exons. The record is from RefSeq and is a predicted model, not a curated record.
CGCCCCCACUUCCCCACCGCCGCUCUCCACCUUCUCUCCCUCUCUCCCUUCUGGAUCCACCGCCGCCGCACACCACUCCUUCUGGAUCCCCCGCCGCCGCCCCCAAUCUCACUCCCUCCCACCGCCGCCGCUGUCCUUCAUCCUCUCCCCCAACCCCGGUCGCCGACAACCCCUCCCCUCCCCUUCUCUCCCACGGCCGCGGUCGGAUCCGCGCUCGUCCCUUCCAGAUCGUAGCCGCCACCUCCUCCCUUCCAGAUCGAGGCUGCCACCUCCCUCCGGCCGCUGCACCGUUGCACCGCUCCGCCCUGCCCGCCUGCUCUGCCUGCCCGACUGCUGCGCCGGCCAUGGCGUACCAGUACCACCACCAGGACCACGCCGCGGCCGCGCUGGGGAUGGACCCGGCGGCGGCGGGGAACCCCGGCGGCGGCUUCGCGCCAGGCCUGGGUGCAGGCGCGCCCGGCGGGUGGGAGAGGGAGAAGGCGGCCAUCGAGGUGCACCCGCUGUACGAGCGGCUGCUGGAGGUGCACGUCGCCUGCCUGCGUGUCGCCACCCCCGUCGACCAGCUCCCCCGCAUCGACGCACAGAUCGCCGCGCGCGCCCCGCCGCCCAUGCCCCCCGCCGCCGCGCCCUCCGGCGGCGGGGAGCUCAACCUCUUCAUGGUACUUGUGGUGAGAAGCAACCUCCGGCUGAUCGUCAGGGUCAUGGCGCCCCCUCACCCCGUGCAUUUGGCGGCUCGCAACGGGGACUUGGAUUGCAUCCGGAAGCUGCUUGCGUGGGGAGCUGAUCGGCUCCAAAGGGACUCUGCUGGGGGAGAACUAGAUCCCUGCCAUGAAGCUCAAGGUGAAGAAGGCCAUCGAGAAGGGCAACGCCGAUGGCGCCCAGAUAUAUGCCGAGAACGCCAUCCGCAAGUGCACCGAGCACAUGAACUACCUCCGCCUCGCCCUAUACGCCCAUGAGUGAUAUAUACUACUUGCCUGCUGCUGUAUCAUAUUGCUUACUUUUUUACAUCAGAUCAACUAUGAAGAGAAUUGGUGGUGGUUAGGGUGUUCUGGUGCUUAUGUAAUCUUCUUUCAGGCCUUUUGAGAUAGAGUUCUUUAGCUGACAAGUUUAGCAAAUGCUGUAGUGCUUAUGGUUUAGUUUUACACUUGUGUAAAAAUGAAUGGCUGCUACUGUUUCUAGUUUUAGGUUGGGAUGAGAUGCAUGUUUGCAUGCUUGUGCUUCUGUCACUACAAUCUAUACUACUGCUAUUGUCAUAUCCUGGUUGUUUUGUUGCUAUCAAUAUCUGUCCCAUGUUUUGUUUCCUUGCAUGCUUACUACUACAAUCUAUACUACUAUUAUGCCAGAUGUUCACAUGUUAAUUUUUGUUGACUAAAAUCUCUUAUGCCGUUGACUUAGCUUGACCUAGAACAGCAACAUCCUUGAUGCGACUAACCUUCACCUCGUUCUUUCCCUCGCAGACUCGAAGGAGGCCGUAUGCAAGGCACCAAGGUGCAUGGUGCUCGCAAGCGACGAACGGAGGCUGUUCGACAUCGGCUACAACCAUGCUCUGUUUCAUGGGAGCUCCAGGUCUAUGGAAUUUGAAGUUCAAAGCUGUAUAGCCCUACUCAGCAAAGAGUUGUCUCUAUGUUUGACUAUAAUAGACUGUAAAUAAUGUAAUAUUGUAACAGUAGGCAUAUUGGGGUUGUAAUAGACUAUCUACAGAUUGUAGUAGACGUAGUGUUACUUGAUGAACAAUCUGAUGAGUGAGAACAAUUUAAGAUGCACCUUUGUAAUAUUGUAACAGAUUGUAAAAUACUAGUGUAUGUUUGAAAUAGUGAUUAUGUAUGUUGAAAAAAUGUGAAAUGGAAACUUGACCAGUGGGAACCACUUGUGAAUAAAA